Synchiropus splendidus (mandarinfish) is the source of this 2377-nucleotide long non-coding RNA. RefSeq lists it as uncharacterized. Lineage: Eukaryota; Metazoa; Chordata; Actinopteri; Syngnathiformes; Callionymidae. The transcript is spliced from 2 exons. The record is from RefSeq and is a predicted model, not a curated record.
CUGGCGCACAAUGCUGUGAAAGCAAAGUAGGUCCGGUUAGUUCUAGACGUUUCUUGCUCGUUCUGGUUUUGGAGAGGCGUGUUACACAAAGAGAGAUCAAUGCGCCCUCCGUUAAAGUGACGUAGACAACCCAUUCUUUUACCUUUAUAGAAGAAAUAUCGUGUAAUUCAAUAAAUGUGUGCUCGACACAUGUUGCAAGUCAUUGAUUAGUACUGUCGGUGGUCUUACGAACCCGGUGGAAUGACAAUACGAACCCGUAGACGACUGACCCAAAAACGCAAACAUGGUGGAUUUUGUAAGGAGAAGACCGAUAUCUUUCGACGAAAAGACGAUCUACUUUUUACGUCGGAGGAAUACUUGACGUGACUACAUCUGACUAUAAAUAGGGUGUGUUCUUGCGGCCAUUUUCAGACGCAUAGACGCGACUCUCGAGUAACAUGUGGCUGAUCAGGUGAACCCGAUCCUUGUUUUCUUCCUCAUUCUUUGAUUUUAUUCGAGCAGUAUUUUAUUUACUAGGCAACAAACUACGCUGAUAUUAACGAGCCGUAACUAUAUGUAGAUUUUGUAUUGUUGAUGUCUCUAAAUGGUCGUGUAGCGUCGGAUAAGAAGCCAUCAGCCACUGUCUUUUUUUUCAAACCUGAUUGUUUUUCUACGUACGGCCUUGUUAUUACAUUUUGGGUCUUGUUGGCAACUGGUAUUUUAAUUAGACGAGUUAUUUUGUUCAAGCUUGACGACUGAGUUUAUAGACUCUUGACGUGAAUUAACAUCGCUAUGGCGUUUGCUAUGAUUGUUUUUAGAUCUCGAAGAAACCAUAAACGCAGUCAGUUUUCAUAUUUUUCAAAUGCGUGUGACGUAAUCAAAGAUAGCUUUUUAUUGUUGGAGAAAUCGAAAAUAGUAACUCGCUCCUCCCAUUUUGUGACGUAGGCUAACAAUGGCGUCUUAGAGUGAGUGGCUAACUGUUCAAGCUAACCAGUUUUUGGUCAAUCUGCCCUUUUUGCCAGAUCAUUACACGAAACUUACCAAACGAAAACUGCUUUUGAUUUUAACGAAUAUCAGACUGUCAUGUUUGACGACUUUCAGAAUAUGUUUCGUUGUCGUUGCUAAACUAGCUUAGGCAUCUAAAGAAUCAGUCAUUGGCAAAGACUCGGCCAAGUGAGAAAACGCUUGAAGCUACUUCUGGUGGAUAAUUUAAUGUUACUUUGUUCUUUUUGCAAAUGUUCUUUAAUCUGAUCGAAUAGCCGGUGGUGUGGUUUACUUGUAACAGAUGCCUAUUAACUGAUCACAAGUGUGAUGUAGCACCAUUAUCAACCAUAAUAGGUCAUUUAAGUCUUGAUUUUAUUUUUUAUUUUUUUUGUAACCCUUUUUUGUGGGGCUUGGGUGGGUCAUGGACUGAGUUUAUAUCUGGGAUCCAAGGUUUCUGUGGACUGAGUAAUUUUUUUGUGGAAAUGGACUUAGUUUUAAAGAAGAAUGGACUUAGUCAAUAGAAGAGGAUCGUAGGACCAUGGAGGAAGAGGCCAUAGGACACGGAGGCAUAGGAUGACGCGGGCGGAACCAGGCAGGACAGGACCAGAGCGGAACCAGGCAGGACAAGACCAGAGCGGAACCAGGCAGGACAAGACCAGAGCGGAACCAGGCAGGACAAGACCAGAGCGAAACCAGGCAAGACAGGACCAGAGGGCGGGGAGGAGAUGACCGGAAAAGAACAGGCGGCAGCUGCGGUCUUCAGUGUCAACCAAAUCGAGCCAGAGGGGCGGGGUAGCGACGCGGAGCAGCCAUCUCAGCAGUUGCAGUUCCACGCAGGCCAGCCAGUGUCGAGAGGGCAGGAGAGAGGUCACUAAAGUAUCCACUAGCUUCAUUAAAGACCAGGCGUAUGGUUUGUAUGUUGGGUAGAAGUAUCACCUCAGAACUUCAGUAUCUCUCCAACCAAAUACUGUAGAGCACAAUUUCUUGCACAGAUUUCUCUUCCUUUUUCCAGGCAAGCAGUGUAAAGUGUUUCGUACUGUGGUCAUCCAUCCCGUUGUGCGCUGACAAGGUUGUGGUGGUGUCUUCUGUGCUGAGUGCCGUGGUAGUGCGGUGGUCCGAGAACCGGCGUAUAUGGACUUCUCUACUCCUGCGAUCACAAGUAGUUCCUGGGCCAGAGAGAUGCAGUCCUUGUUGUUGAGUUGAUCUACUCCAGAGAUGUUCUUCUGAGGAGGGAGUAAUGGAUGGUCUCCAAGGCGGCCGUGUGGUGCAUAUACAGCAACCCUUUGGUGAUUCAGCAGUCCGUCAUUGGUACAGUUCAGCACCGUCAACUUGAGCGGAGCAGUGAGUCAAUGCAUGAAGUGUAUAUGUGGGUGUUAUCCUUCAUGAGCUAUUUGUAUAAAAAAAAAAAACUAAA